ACCGCACUAGAGAAAUGGUUAACUCGUUGGCCUCCUAUUACCAAAAAACAAUAGCCGAAGAUUCCGGGUUCGAGUCCCGGGCGUGGUC
Molecule: non-coding RNA, 88 nt
Organism: Hypoxylon fuscum
Lineage: Eukaryota; Fungi; Ascomycota; Sordariomycetes; Xylariales; Hypoxylaceae
Source: the annotation of a GenBank genome assembly